RNAcentral lists this ribosomal RNA (468 nucleotides) under uncultured bacterium. Its description in RNAcentral is "partial 16S ribosomal RNA". It matches the Rfam family "Bacterial small subunit ribosomal RNA", at positions 28 to 507 of the family's 1533-position model. The record is from RNAcentral.
GACGAACGCUGGCGGCGUGCUUAACACAUGCAAGUCGAACGGAAAGGCCCUGCUUUUGUGGGGUGCUCGAGUGGCGAACGGGUGAGUAACACGUGAGUAACCUGCCCUUGACUUUGGGAUAACUUCAGGAAACUGGGGCUAAUACCGGAUAGGAGCUCCUGCUGCAUGGUGGGGGUUGGAAAGUUUCGGCGGUUGGGGAUGGACUCGCGGCUUAUCAGCUUGUUGGUGGGGUAGUGGCUUACCAAGGCUUUGACGGGUAGCCGGCCUGAGAGGGUGGCCGGCCACAUUGGGACUGAGAUACGGCCCAGACUCGUACGGGAGGCAGCAGUGGGGAAUAUUGCACAAUGGGCGGAAGCCUGAGGCAGAAACGCCGCGUGCGUGAUGACGGCCUUCGGGUUGUAAACCGCUUUCGCCUGUGACGAAGCGUUAGUGACGGUAAUGGGUAAAGAAGCACCGGCUAACUACGUG